Molecule: long non-coding RNA, 32121 nt
Filed under: Brassica rapa (field mustard)
Lineage: Eukaryota; Viridiplantae; Streptophyta; Magnoliopsida; Brassicales; Brassicaceae
Description: long non-coding RNA (BRAP_LNC007348)
Source: RNAcentral
CAAGAGGAAAGCUAUGCAAGCAACAACAACUCGUCUGAUCAACAGAAUUUGGGGAGAGUUUUACUCCAAUUACUCUCCAGAGGAACCCGUGCAGGCAGUUGGUGCAGAAAACGAGGAGGAAGAGGUUGAAGAGGAGGGUGAAAUUGAAGAAGAUGACGCAGAGGAAACUGUUCCAGAACCUGUUGAGGAGGUUGAAAAGUCUCAUACCCCUUUGAAGAAAAUUCGAGGCGUUUCUGGUAAAACGGAAUCAAGUUGGAGUGGCGAGAGUCUAGGAAAAACUUCUGCUGGUGAGCCUCUCUAUCGACAAGCCCUCGUUGGAGAAGAAAUUGUGGCUGUAGGUGGUGCUGUCGUGUUGGAAGAUGAUGGAAACGAGGUCAUCUAUUUUGUGGAGUACAUGUUUGAAAAAUCAAACAACUGCAAAAUGCUUCAUGGAAGACUCUUACAGAGAGGAUGUGACACUGUUCUGGGUAAUGCUGCUAACGAGAGGGAACUAUUCCUGACCAAUGAAUGCAAGACUGUAUCGCUUAAGGAGAUAAAAGGAACGGUCAGUUUUGAGAUUCGUUCAAGGCCAUGGGGGCAUCAGUUUAGAAAAGAGAACACCACCGCGGACAAGCUUGACCGGGCGAGAGCAGAGGAACGAAAAACGAAAGACUUGCCUACGGAAUACUUCUGCAAGAGUUUAUAUUCGCCUGAGAGAGGGGGUUUCUUUAGCCUUCCAUUAAAUGAUAUGGGCUGUGCAUCUGGAACCUGCAGUUCAUGUAGGAUAAGAGAAGAUGAAGAGAAGAAGACAGAGAUCAAACUCAACUCUUCAAAGACGGGGUUUUCGUGUAAUGGGGUUGACUAUUCCGUUGAUGAUUAUGUCUACGUAAAGCCAGAAGAUAUAGAUGGAUCGAAGGAGGCUAAUGGGAGAUUUAAGUCUGGUCGUAACAUUGGCUUACGACCAUUCGUUGUUUGUCAAAUACUGGAGAUCAUCGUCCUAAAAGAAUCUAGAAAGGCUUCCUUUGAGGUUAAAGUGAGAAGGCUUUAUAGGCCUGAGGAUGUUUCUGACGAAAAGGCCUAUGCGUCAGAUAUCCAAGAGGUAUAUAGCGAUGUUCAAAUUAAGUUGCUUUGCUGGUUUCUUCAUUUGUGUUUAUUACAAUCUUUUUAACUCUUUUUUUUUUUCUUCUUUUUUUGGAAUUUGUUUUAGUUGUAUUACAGCGAGGACACAGAUGUUCUCCAACCAGAAGCUCUAGAGGGAAGAUGUGAAGUAAGGAAGAAAAUUGAUAUGCCCUCACGCCGUGAGUAUCCAAUAUCAGAUAAUAUCUUCUUCUGUGAACAGAUCUAUGACCCGUCCAAAGGUUCUCUCAAGCAGGUACAUAUUUUUCUAAAAUCAUAUAAUAGGUGUUCAUAUAACUCAUUUGUUAUGAUUAUUGCUGUUUCCGAUACAAAGUUGAAGUGUUUCUUUGAUCUGACCUGUAAACAGUUGCCCGUCAAUAUCAAGCCGAAGUACACUACUGUUAAGGACGAGGCACUUUUAAGAAAGAGAAAGGGGAAGGGGUUAGUGACUGAAACUGAUUCUGUGACUGACAAGCCUGAAGAGGUAUCUAAAGAGACGCGUCUUGCUACACUAGAUAUUUUCGCUGGUUGUGGUGGACUGUCUCAGGGACUUGAACAGGCAGGUAUGUAUUAUCUCCAGUAAACGCUUCUUUAUCAACCAUAAAACCCUAGAACUAGUUGGAUUCAUGGGCAUGCUUUUUAUGUACAAGGUGUCUCGGCAACAAAGUGGGCGAUAGAGUAUGAAGAGCCAGCUGGGAAGGCUUUUAGAAAAAACCAUCCCGAAACAACAGUUUUUGUUGACAACUGCAAUGUAAUUCUUAGGUAAGUAGCCGACAAAGAUAAAACACUUUCUCUUCCAAUGUGGCUAUUUUCUGUGUUGAGAUCUGUUGUUUGUAAUUAUCUAUAGGGCUAUAAUGGAGAAAUGUGGAGAUCAGGAUGAAUGUAUCUCUACUAAAGAAGCUAAUGAACUCGCUGAGAAACUUGAUGAAGACCAGAAACGUACGCUGCCACUGCCCGGCCAAGUGGAUUUCAUCAAUGGAGGCCCUCCAUGCCAGGUAUAUGUUCUGGUCUUUACAAUUGUCGUUGAAUAAGUGAAGAAAAGGUGUUAACCAGUGCAAUUUUUCAGGGAUUCUCCGGUAUGAAUCGGUUCAACCAAAGCUCUUGGAGCAAAGUUCAGUGUGAAAUGAUAUUGGCAUUCUUGUCAUUUGCUGAUUAUUUCCGGCCAAGAUACUUUCUCCUGGAGAACGUGAGGACCUUUGUGUCAUUCAAUAAAGGGCAGACGUUCCAACUUACUCUGGCUUCUCUUCUCGAAAUGGGUUACCAGGUGACACUCGUGCUCUGUAUUUUCCACAUAUGAAUGCUCCCGAGUAGUUUAGAAUGUGAAUUUGACAUGUGUGAAUAUGAUGUGAUGUGUGGUAGGUGAGAUUUGGGAUCUUGGAGGCAGGUGCAUAUGGGGUUUCCCAAUCUCGCAAAAGAGCUUUCAUCUGGGCAGCUGCACCAGAUGAGGUUCUCCCCGAAUGGCCUGAGCCGAUGCAUGUCUUUGGUGUUCCUGAGUUGAAAAUCUCGCUGUCUAAAGGUGUACAUUACGCUGCUGUUCGCAGUACUCAAUACGGUGCACCUUUCCGCCCAAUCACAGUGAGAGACACAAUUGGCGAUCUUCCAUCAGUAGUUAACGGAGAAUCCAACACGAAGAGAGAGGUAUGAUGAUGUCACACAUGAGGAGAAAAAAGUAUCAACAUGUAGGAAACUCAUAUGAUUCUUUUAUCUUGCAGUAUAAAGCUCAACCAAUCUCGUGGUUUCAAAAGGAGAUAAGAGGAGACAAUAUUGCUCUCACUGAUCACAUCUGCAAAGAGAUGAACGAACUAAACCUCAUUAGAUGUAAGAAAAUCCCAAAGAGGCCAGGGGCUGAUUGGCGUGACCUCCCAGAAGAAAAGGUCAGAGUCUUUUGUAUUAUCACACUGUAAAUCAAAGGAAUAGUUCAGUGACGUUAAAUGCUACAUCUUGUUUACCCUUUUUUUUCAGGUGACGUUAUCAAAAGGGCAAGUGGUAGAUUUGAUACCAUGGUGUCUGCCAAACACUGCGAAGCGACACAACCAGUGGAAAGGACUGUUUGGGAGAUUAGAUUGGGAAGGCAACUUUCCAACAUCAAUCACUGAUCCUCAGCCGAUGGGUAAGGUUGGGAUGUGCUUCCAUCCUGACCAAGACAGGAUUAUCACUGUCCGUGAAUGCGCCCGGUCACAGGUAUAUAGAUAUUAUGUUCCUAGUCAAGACGGAAGCUUUUGAUUUGUUCCUAAAGUCUAAGUAAUGAAAUUGAUUGGUUGUAUUAUAAAAAAUUGUGGCAGGGGUUUCCGGACAGCUAUGUGUUUCAAGGGAACAUAAUACACAAGCAUAGGCAGAUUGGGAAUGCAGUGCCUCCACCUUUGGCCUUUGCUCUUGGUCGGAAGCUCAAAGAAGCGGUUCAACUCAAGAAGGUCACCAAAACAAACUAGAUUUGUGUUUCCUUUUAUUUUUUGUUUUCGCAAACGAUUAGAACUUUGUCAAACACGGUUAAGUCACUGUAAUAUUCAGCCUCUUGAACUAUUUAGACAUCUACUCAGAUAAGUUGAAGAAAAGAGCUUUGCUUUGCUUCAGUGCACAUUCCUUUUAUGUCGUCUGUUUGAAUUGAUAUAAUAAUACAUGCUGUUUUAUCACAUUUCUAUGUACCUAACUUCAUUAAUUACCUGUUGCGGCUUUGAUCAUAUUCGAUCACAAACUUAAUAUAUAAACUAGAUUUUGACCCGCGCGGUUGCGCAGAAAUAUUUAUAUUUAUAUUUAUAAUUUUAGCAUCAUUUAAAAUUAUAAUUUAUUUUUCAAAAUUAAAAUUUUAUGGUUUGAUGAUAUUUUGUAAAUUUUGGUUUACGUCAAAGUUGUACUCUUGAUUUUUCGGUUUGGUUGUGGAUUUUGAGUUUUGGUUAUAGAAGUAUAAUAAUAGUUUGAUUAUUUAUAAAUUUAAAGUUUGGUUUGUUUUGGGUUUCGUUAUUUAGUUUUUGGCUUUGUUCAAAUAACAAUGGAAGGAAUCCAAAAUUUUGAGUUCAGUUCGAACGCAUAUGGAUCUGAAUUUAGAUAUGAAAUUAUGUGAAAUUAAUUAUAAGAAUAUUCUUGAAAUCGUUAAACUAAAUAUAUGUUGAACAAUACAAAACUUAUUUAUUAUAUUUUCAGUUUAAACAAUGUUGUAAGGUUGGCUAUUUAAAAUAUAUAUCAUUUUAAUUUACAUGGAAAAAGUUUCAAAAUAUAUGGUUAUGGUUACAUAUGUUUAUAAUAUAACAAAAAAUAUAUUUUGGUUUCAGAAUUUAAACAAACAAUGCACAAAUUCAAAAUUGUGGAAUUUAUAUUAUAACAAUAAUCAAUGAUUUAUUCAUCUUUUAAUUUAGAAUGAUAUGCCAAAUGAUUUUUUUUUGUUCAGAAUAAAGAUUUAUUUUGUUCAUUCUGAAUUUAAAAAUUGAAAGCUGAGAUAUAAUUUAUCUAAUAUAAAAUUUAAAUGUAUAGGAAAUGUACUGAAAAAUCUAUGGACGAUAUAUAGCAUAUGUUAAUAGUCAUGGUUUUGGCAUAUAACUUAUUAUUUAUUUGUUAUAUAUAGUAUAUAGCUUCUUUUACUAAGGUAUAUCAAUUAUAUUAUAAGAUUCAAAAGGUAUGUCACUAAAAAGAUUAAAUAAUAUUACUGAGGUAGGAUAGGAGGAUUACAAAAUACACGGGGAAUUAGGAUUAGAUUCUACUGAAUAUAUAUAUAUAUAUAUAUAUAUAGUCAUCUAUAAAAUUAAUAUUAUGUAAGGGUGAAUAUAUAAGAAUAUGGUAUGUGAUUCCACAUUUUUCAAAAUUCAUUUCUAUAGUAAUACAAACCUUUGUUUCAAAAUUUCUAUGUGUAAACGAAAUUUAAAUAACAAUAAAUAGUAGGCAAUAUUUAAGGAGGUAGUUAUGGAGUAAUAUUUUAGUUUUCAAAUAUUAUCUUGAUUAGAUUGAGUUAUUUUAGGUAGGUCCAUAAUUUAAAUGACUUAAUAAUAUUAAGUCACAACAUAUUUAAUAGGUCCAAAUUUAAAAUAUGCCAAGGUAAAUUUCAAAUAGGACCCUAUUUUAAUAGAGUAGAAGUUAAAAAAAAUAAUAAUAAUACAUGCUGUUCGUGUCAAUAAAAGUAACAAAUACAAAUGUUUGAGACUUAAAUUUUAUCAAUCAUAAAAAAAAAAAUUGUUUGUCAUAAAUAACAACUAGUGUAUAUUGAUCCGCGGUUUAUAUUUUAUAUUUUUGUUUCUUUUACAAAAUCAACUAAACAAAUUUACUGUGUUAAAUUAAUUUAUUUAAUAAAAUGUUUAAUUAGCUGUAGUUUUUUGAUACUUAUUUUGUUAGUCAUUUUUAUCAGUGACAACAACUUUAGAUAUUUGUAUAUAUGGAAAAUGGUUUUAAAUUUAUCAUAAAUUAAUUUGUUAUAUUAUUUAAUACGUGAGGUUAUAUAUUGUGUCAUAUUGUUAAUUUAUAUUGUUCAGUAUUUUGUUUUCUACAAAUGAUUUUGAUGUCGCAAUUUCUUAAUAAAUCUAAAAUAAAAUAUACAAAAAUUAUUAAAUAGAUGAACUUAUUACAAUAGUGUUAAAAAUAUUGCCAGAGAAUGUUAAAGUUCGCAUUUAGAUUAUUUAUAGUGCCUAUACAUUAAAGCUAUUAAAAGAACUUAUUGUGAAAGGUAUAUCAAAAUUUUAAAGUUAGAUUAUAAAACAUGAAAUGCUAAAUCCAAACGUAAAACAUAAAAUGCUCAAUCCAAACGGAUGUCAAAGGAAUCCCUACUAUAUAUUGAGAAGUUACUAAAGUGAUUUUUGUUUAGGUGUCAUUUAUAGAUAAGUUUAUAAAUAAUUCUCUUAAUUUGAUUGGUUGUUGGUAUUUAAAUUUUCAUUUAUUUAAUUAAAAUUUAAAAAAAUAACCAAUCCUAGAAUCAACUGAUCUAAUCUAUAUUACCAUACAAACAAUUAAACAUUUUAAAAAUAGAACUAAAACAAUUUGUUUAUAGAAACAAUUAAAUAUAAUAAAUUCCAUUAUAGAAAUUUUGAAUAUACAUAUAAAUAUAUAUGAUAUGAUAGAAAUACUUAUAUAAACGGUUUUAAACAUAUUUCUAUUAAUAGUGGAUAAUAAAUCAUGGAUUAUAGAAAACUAAUUAACCUAAACCUAAUGAUACUUUUUUAUACUCACAAUAUAUAUUUAGUUUUUUAAAAAUGUGUCAAAUGAUUGGAAAGCAGUCAAAUAUACAAUUUUAAAAAACAUUCAGUAAUUUUUCAAUGACAAAUGUGGAUAGUAUAGUUGAGUUAUAACUUUCAAAAAUGAUUAAAGUAUUUUUCUAUUUAAAAACAGAAAAUAUAUGGUAAGUCUUUAACAAUAAUAUUAAUAAAUGAAAAUAUUUAUUAUAAUAAAAAAUUGAAAAUUGUAACAUUAUAUUAAUAUGACACUAGAUUUAAUAUACUCUAUCAAUGUAAUUCUUAUAGUUUUGAUUAUAAUAAAAUUAUAUGGUAAAUCAUUGAAAAUAAUAUUAAUCAAUAAAAUUAAAAGUGGAAACAAAAUAUAAUUACGAGACUAGAGUUAAGACUCUAUUGAUAUAUUUUGAUUGAUUAUAAUAAAAUUGAUAUUCUUAUUUUUGUAAGAGAAAAAAGGAUUUAUAAAUAAAACAUUAGUGAAGAUACUUCUAUAUAAUAUAAAGUGGUAGGCAAAAUAAUGCGAAAAUAGAAAGUGUUAUAAAAUCAUUUUUUGUUCAUUAAUCUUUGAUCUUUAUUAUUCAAAAAUUGUGUCACAAAAAAAUUUGGAAACUUAUAUUAUAAUUUAUAGAAUUAUUACUAUAUCGCAAUAAUCUUCUAAGAUGAUACAAUACCAAGACUUUUGAUUUUUCAAACGAUUUAAAAUGAAAAGGUUAUGAUUAUUAUUCAAAAUUAAAAAACAUAAUAUAUAAUUUUCAUACGAUUGUUAUAUCCGCGAAAUCGCAGGCACCCACCUAGUAUAGUUUAAAUCCAAACGUAAAGAUUUUAUAUAGUUUUGCAAAGAUUUUGUAAUCUUUGAUUACUGUUACAUGUUGUUUUUUUCUGAACAGUAAUACCAUUUCAUGUUAUAAUGCUUUAAAUAUUAUCACAUAUUUAUAGUGAUUAAAAUAUGGUUAUAUGUUUUGUUGGACCAUUUUUAAGUAAUAAUGUUUUUAUCAGUUAGAUAAAAAUAGGACUCUGAAUUAAUAGGAUAGAUUUAUGAAUAAUAAAUUAUCCAUAUCUCUCUCUAGGAAAAAUAUCUACAUUUAAAAGUUGAUCAAUAAGUAUUAAAUAUGUGCAUAUCCACCAAAAUUAAAAGACUUGAGCGUAAUUUAACCAUGCAAAUAUAUUAUUUCCUAAAUUUGACUUAUAAAAUUCACUUAUAAAUUUGACUCUUCACUCAAUAUAUAUCACAAACAAAACAACACAUUAAAAAGAGAGAGAAAAGAUUAAGAAGAGUAAAACUAUGUCAAUGUGUAACAUCCUAAUCUUCGCAGCCCUUUUACUCAGCUUCAUGAUUACUGCUUCGGUAGCCCGUCCAUACUCGACUCUCCAGAGCAAAGAUACGGUGAAUAUUCAUUUUCUUAGAUUUUGUGUUUACUUUAUUGUUUAUAUCGAUUUAACUAUACAACAAAACCAAAUUGAAACUGAGAAAAUAUCAUAUCUAGUUUACAAAAAAAAAUAUCAUAUCUAUCAUAUAAAAAACCCCAACUGUUUUAAUAUUUUCUGUUUGUAUACGUUACAUUAAUAUGAAAGACUAAGAAGUUUUGUCUCCGAACGUUCAUACAUCUUUCUAGGACGAAAUCCAAACAUAUUAAAUUAAUUUUAAGAGAGUAAAUCCUUUGUAACAAAACUUUUUAGAUCUCUAUGAGAUGGUCCAAGAGUUUUAGCUAUACUAGAUCCACAUCUUGUUGAUGUAUUUUUUAUUCAUCAAAUUGUUGAUUAUUUUAAAUGUAUGAAGGAGACGGAGAAGAAGUGUGAAACGAAUGAGUGUCUGAUGAAAUCGACGUUGGAUGCUCAUCUUGACUACAUCUAUACCCAAUCGCACCCGAAACUGCAUACAGCAGUUAAAGUAAUUCUCUAACUAUAUGCCCAUCGAUUUCUAUUAUUUAGUAAUACAUUUUCACAAUAUAAUGAAUAGUAAAUCAAAUGCUUUUAAAGUAUGAAUUGAGAAAUUAACUAAAUUCAUUUUUAACUAUUUGAAGGAAAUAGAAACACUAUGUGAAACGGAGGAAUGUUUGAUGAAAGCAACGUCAAAUGCUCACGUGGAUUACAUCUACACUCAGAAGUCUCCUCCACAAAAGCCAAUCCAUAACUAAUAUAUUCAACGUGUGUUCCAUCAUGUUCUGUUGUGUUCUCCAUCUUUCUAUACAACCAAAAAAAACUUAAUCAGCAAAAACUUAGUACUGUUUAUGUUUUAUUUUAAGUGGUUUCUGACCUCAAACAAACCAAAAAAAAAAACUCUCAAGAUAAAACGGUUGUAAUAGUGUUAUUUCGUACGCUGAUAGCAUUUGUUGUGCUUGGAUCAUCUUCUUCCCGAGGGCUCUCAAGAGCGUACUGAAACGUUCGAACAACUCAAUGUUCCAAAAGCUUUUUUGUGGUUGCCGAGAAACUUAUCUCCAAAGAUACCAUAUUCACUGCACAAAUGAUUUUUUAAUUGUUCUUCAACUAUUAACAACUGCCCUUUUGGUCUUCACCCCCCAUCAUAACCAACUAGAAACUUAUCUCCAUCUUAACAUUUGCACCCAAAGAAAAUGAAAAGAAACUUAUCUCCUUGACCUUGUCCGUGGCAAUAUGAUGCAACUACGAUAGCUGCAAUUUCUCUUCAAAGAAAGGGAACAAAGCCGUCCAAUCAAUUAUUUGUCUUUCUAUUUCCACAACAACAAACGAAUCCAAAGCUUUAAGUUGGAACCUGUGUACAGUAGUACCUUGCAACCAGAGUCCUCAUUCCAUCUCUUUUGAAAAUAUGCACUAUGGUACAUCCAACAUGUGAAUCUUUUGACAUUACCCUUCCAACACAUCAACGAAUUAGAAAACUUGAAAAAUUCUUACAAGUAAAUGAACAGGACACAAUGGUCACGUUAAUGACUCACUCUACAACGAGCGUAGCUGCUGCAUCCAAAUCAGAAGAUAUGUGUACAACGGCUAAGCCUCUUCUUAUCGAUGACAUUCUUGCUAUCUCUUCAAUGCUUUGAUCCAUCUAAGGCUAACUUUGUCGAGAACUUGUACAAGAGCUUGAUCGACUUGCCUCUUAUCAGCAUGACAAAGAACUCACGACUGUAGCUACCUCCACAAGUACAGCUAAAGCAGGGGUGCAAUCCCCGUGUUUAUAUCUUUGCUUUCUUUAUUUCCAAGUAAGUCUGCAAGCCUAAGAGGAUCAUCAUACCUUUGCUUUCCAGACCACAAUUACUGAUUACUAGAGCAUGUCCAUUCAUCUUUAAGCAAUCUCCAGACCAAGUUCCUCAAUAAUACUUUUCUGAUAAAUGCCAAAUAAAUUAAAUUAAUAUGACAUAAUUUUAUAAUAAUUAUUUAUUAAAAUUAAAAUAUCUUAUAGUUAUGACUAUACUCGUAUUAAAACCUAGUUAGAAAUUUAGAUGUUUUAUUGUCGCAUAACUAAUCGUGUGAUCAGACUGCAUGUUGCAAAUUGUUAUUCAUUUUGAUGUUGCAUGACUGAUUGUGUUCGCAAAUCGUGAUUUUAAAUCACUGAAAUAUUAGCUACUAGUUUUGUCAUAAAUCAGAUGUUGCAGUCGCAUUUUUUUUUGUCGACUUUUUUAAUUUCAUUACUUUGAAAACUUAGUACAAUGGCUCAACUGUUUAGCCAAGUGAUUACAUAAGGUCUGUUACUAAUUCUAGCAUCCUUGGCUAAUUUGUCAAUAUCAACUUCCUAGGUACAUGUCUGAAGUUAAAAUUACUCUUUGUUGCAACUGCUUUUAUGUCUUUAGCCACUCCAAUCACCUUGACAUAUAUCUUGAUCUCGUCUGCCUUUUGCCAUGCAAUAAAGAGUGUUGAUCAACCUCAAACAAUCGCUAAGGAAAAACACAUUAGUGUAGUAUAAUCUGUAGAGUUGUUGAACUGCUGACCACAUCGCCAUUGCUUCUGCUACCAACAGUGUGCUGUAGGAUUCAUUGCAGAGCUUUCAUGGAGUAUUAGAGUGCCUUCUCUGUUAUAAUAAGGAUUACCCUAUUCCAACAUUAUCCGUUGGCGCCUUCCAUGAAGCAUCUACAACCAGGGGCGAAGGCAGAUUAUGAGUAGAGGGUGCAUGUGCACCCAUAGAAAUAAUAAAAUUUAAAAUUUUAAGCUUAAAACAAGUAGAAUUUCACAGGUAAAAUGGUAAAAGGCAAAUUGUGCACCCACGCUAACUCAAGUUCGAUUAUCUCCUAUGUUUUUUUUAUUAAUAGUGCACCCAUGCCAAAAAUCUUCUGGCUUCGCCCCUGUCUACAACGCAGUAUAACUCUGUAUGUUGUAGUCGCAUAUCGCAUAACUUGUAAUGAACAAUGUUUUGGACACAAGUCACUUUGACAUGUAAGUGCAAGCGCAUUAAUGAACUUCCGGUUGGAGUUCACAAUUUGAUUUUUUUAUUAUUAUUAUUUUUUUAUUGAUUUUUUUUUAAAAAAAUAAAAAGUAAAAAAUAAACUGAUCAAUAGCGGACCGCCAUGUGGCGUGGACCCGUUAAACAGUAACGACUCGGGUUCAUACAGAAGGAGCGUGGCGAGACAAAUUCACCAUAAUUGAUUAUUAUAAAAAAAAAUUUUUUGGAUGUGUGAGAACUCUCCUCUUAAAUUUUUAAUGCUCAUGCUCUAAACUAACAAAACCAAAAUUAUUCAUAUAAUAAAAUUAUAAUUUUUUAUAUGUUUUCAAAUAUUCCGAUUAUUUUAGUGUAACGGCUUCGUGUCUUGUGCCUCCUCAUUAACUGGGAUGGGCAAAGAGAUGCCGCUCUUUGUGACUGUCUUCGCUGACUAGGGAUUGGGAAUACGAUAUAAAAGUAUACCACUAGCUAGCUCCAAUAUAAUAUGAUAAGCCAUUUUUAUCAACAUCUCGAACCAAAUUAAUCAAAAGAAGCAUAUCACUUCAACACCGUAAGCCGAAAAUUGCGGGUGCAAUAGUAAUCUUAUUUACCUAAAGUAUCGUCAAAAAUUGGCGGCACUUAACUGGUGUGCGAUACUGCAAAGUACAAACUUUUGUAGCCAAAGCAGUAAAAGUUUAUCCAAAAAAAAAGCAGUAAAAGUUUUUUUUUUUUUUUGCUAAAAUAGCAGUAAAAGUCUUAAGUGCUAGGAUGUGCAUUACAGUCUAAAAAUAAAAACUAAACUUAUGGUAUAAAUAUAUAGAUGAUGUAAUUAAUAAGCUUCACUGAGAAUUUCGUCUGAGAUAAGUUAUAAAUUUUUUUUACCUUGGAAUGAGCUGAACUAAGGUUAAAAUUACACGAGAAGAACCAAAAAGCGCUAUCAACUUAUAUAAACCAAAACGGGCCAAAACACUCAAAUAUUUUAUUCAGCCCAUGAGCCCAGGAUACGAUCCCGAGACAAGAUACGACGUCGUUAAAAACUGUCGGUGUCUCAGUGAGAAGCAAAACUAGGACUUACAAGUUUCACAUGGCCCUUCCCCCUACUUUCAAGUUUCAUAGUAUCACUUACUCUCUCUCUUCUUCAUUCCCAGGAAAAAAUAAAAAAUCCACAUUCGAAGCUUCUUCCCUCUCUCGGAUUGCAUUUUCAGGUAAAAUUCCCAUUUUUAUUCAGAUUUUGUUUGUGAUUCUUCUUAUUUAGUAUACCGGUUUGAUUAAAUCUCUGGUAAUUGCUUAAAGAUUUGUUCUAAUCACUCACUUACUUAGAUCCGAUAAAGAUUGUGAUUUUUGGUUCAAGUAUAGAAAUUUAAUAGCGUAUACUGUUUUGAGUAAUGGUUUAUACAAGACCAACACUCAAAAACGAAAACAAAUCUUCCAUUAAUGUGAAUAAAUUGAAUUUCAAUUGACUCUAUGAAAUCUGAAACAAUUAAGUAACAUAUCAACCGAAUGACUAAUGUCACAUUAAUGUUAAUUGGAAAAUAAAAUAAAAGUUAUUUCCUUUAAUUAAAAAAAUUGCAUAAUUUUUUUUUUGCAGGUAAAUAUUGUGGAUGGUCUCGCCUGAGGCAUCGCAUUUCCAAUCAUCUCCGAUGGCAAAAUACACCGGAGCAAGAACCAGACCGGUCAUCUGCUUCAACGACGUCGUUCUCUUCCUCGGCGGAGCUUUCAUGUCUCUCAUCCUCGUCUGGUCUUUCUUCUCCUUCUCAAACUCCCCAAACCUCACCUUCUCCCCCGACAAAACCGACGCUUCCACCAAAUGCACUCGCGGAAUCGAUAUGCGGUACGAUCCAACCGACCCGGUUUUCUACGACGACCCGGAUCUAUCCUACACAAUCGAAAAACCGGUUAAGAACUGGGACGAGAAGCGGAAACGUUGGUUAGAGCUACACCCCUCGUUCAUCCCCGGUUCCGAGAACCGGACGGUUAUGAUAACCGGUUCUCAAUCCGGUCCGUGUAAAAACCCGAUCGGAGACCAUCUCUUGCUCCGGUUCUUCAAGAACAAAGUCGAUUACUGCCGAAUCCACGGCCACGACAUCUUCUACAGCAACGCGCUUCUCCACCCGAAGAUGAAAUCGUUCUGGGCGAAGCUUCCGGCGGUUAAGGCGGCGAUGAUUGCUCACCCGGAGGCGGAGUGGAUCUGGUGGGUCGAUUCCGAUGCUCUCUUCACCGACAUGGAUUUCACUCCGCCGUUUCACCGUUACCGUGACCAUAACCUCGUCGUUCACGGCUGGCCUGGAGUUGUUUACGACGAACGGAGCUGGACGGCGUUAAACGCCGGCGUUUUCCUCAUCAGGAACUGUCAGUGGUCGAUGGAGCUGAUUGACACGUGGACAAGCAUGGGCCCGGUGAGUCCUGACUUCGCUAAGUGGGGAGAGAUCCAACGGUCGAUAUUUAAAGAUAAGCUGUUUCCGGAAUCGGACGAUCAGACGGCUCUGAUUUAUCUGCUGUUUAAACACAAAGAGGUGUAUUAUCCUAAGAUAUACCUCGAAGGAGAGUAUUAUUUCGAAGGGUACUGGUUAGAGAUCGUACCGGGUUUAGCCAACAUAACCGAGCGGUAUCUCGAGAUGGAGCGAGAGGACGCCACGUUGCGCAGGAGGCACGCGGAGAAAGUGAGCGAGCGAUACGCUGCGUUUCGAGAGGAGAGGUUCCUGCGAGGAGAAAGUGGCGGGAAAGGGAGUAAACGGAGGCCGUUCGUCACGCAUUUUACGGGGUGUCAGCCUUGUAGUGGGGACCACAACACGAUGUACAACGGUGACACGUGUUGGAAUGGGAUGAUCAAAGCCAUUAAUUUUGCUGAUAAUCAAGUGAUGCGUAGGUAUGGGUUCGUACACUCGGAUCUAGGCAAGACCUCCCCACUUCAACCUGUACCGUUCGAUUAUCCUGAUGAGCCCUGGUGAUUUUUUAAAUGAAUUUUUCCCUAUGUGGCUCUUGUGUUGUGUGUUUAAUUUUGUUUUUGAACGCUUUAGAUGGUGGUUUUAUAAUUUUAUAUGAGUUUACUAUUAUAAUCUAUGAUUUGAGAAUCUUUUCGAGUAAUAUAAUGAUUAUUGUAGGGCGUAUGAGAUAAAGAAAACAGUAUCUUAGUUGUACUUUCUUUACUUUUCCAUAGAGUGAGCCAUGAUGAGUGGGAUUCUUCGAUUUGUUGUCUUCUAUCACUUCUCUGUAUUUUAGAUUGUACUUGAUUUCUCAAUCACCACUAGUCUUUUUUUAUAAAAUAGUAAUAUUUUAUAUAAUGUGCAUCGUAAAUAUUGUUGGGCCUCGGAAAUCUUGGCCCUUCUCCAGGCUCCAGCUAUACAAUUGUGUCAAUUGGGCUCGGUACAAGAACUCUCGCAAAUUCCGUAAGUAUUUAAGGUUACCUGCGAGGGAGGUAUUUAAGUCUGAUCUUGGCUUGCCCGACAUGACCCUUAUAGAGUUAAAAAGGCAUCAUUGACCCCGGUUUCUUAGCCGAUGUUCUUAACUCAUAAUUUGAUAUUUUUUUUUUACACUUUUCGGUUAAGAGACGACUCUUAUAUCUCUUAUUUAAGAGACAAUUUUUAAUUUUUCUUAGUUAAAAUCAAAAGAAAACUAAGACCAUCUCCAUGAACUUGUUCUAAAAACCGUUUUUAAUCGAAGAUAAGAACCCCAUUUAAGAAAUUGAGACUAAUCAUGGUUUUAUGAGUUUUGGGUUUUUCGAGAAAAACGAUCUUAAUGUUAUAUCUGCCAUUUUCACCAUUUUAAAACAUAUAAGUUUUCACAAAAAAUCAAUUUCAACUUUCGUCAUUAAAUAUAAAGUCAGUCGAAACUUUUUUUUGACAAAAUUGUUUUUAUACACUUUAAAAAUUAUAUUAUAUGCAUACUAAAUUUAACAAAACUUAAAUAAUCAAAUAUAAAUUAAAACUAUAUAUAAAAGACAACAUGUGUGUUAUGAAUCGUAUGACAAGUUUUUACUCAUGAAACUUAUCUAUCCAAAGCGAGUUAGUAAUAAGAUGAGUGCGUUCGAUAUCUUAUAUAUUAAAACAGAAGUCACAACCUUGAUUCUUUUUUUUAACGCUGAUUUAUUACGAUCUUACAAUUAUGAUAUAUGAAAGAUUACAUAGACGAUUCGACAACCGACAAUACUACCUGCCUUAUGAAGACCUACGCCUAACUGCAUCACCUGAGCCGUCCUAUGAAGAUCCACGUCUGGCCAGAUUUACUUGCACCAUGUUGAAGAUCCCUUGCAAGCCUUUCCUCUGUAGUCUGGCAUAAUUGUUUAAUAAACCGCUUUCUCCGGGACUUGAAACCUGGAUUUCCUGUAAUCUGCAAUAAAUUGCAUAGUCUGGGAUUCGAACCCGGACCUGGGUGUAGAAGCCUUUAAACCUUAACCAAUAGGCUACGGUGCUUCCACGAUCACAACCUUGAUUCAUGUGUGGUUUUUUUAAAAAUGGACCAAAUGGACCUAUUCAUAGAAAUUCAUAUUACAUUUUAGUUCAGACUAAUAAUAAAUAGAAUUUUAAAAAUAUUUUAAUCAUAAUAUCUUUUGAUAUCUUUUCAUUUUAAAUAUAAAUAUAUUUAUUUUAAAAUUCUAACAAAUCUGUUUAAAAAGAUUUUUACAAGAUCUUCAUUUUCGAAAUUAUAUUUAAAUAUUUUCGCUAAUUUUGAAAUUAGUUUAAAAUAUCAUUAUACAUUAAUAUAUUCAGUUAUAUAAAAUUAAAAAUAAACAAAUCUAUAAUAUUUUAUUUAUUAUAUAAUCAUAAUCAAUCAUAUUAAAAUAAAAUUAUUAUAUUGAGCUAAAUAUAAUAAAAUUGUAUUAAAUUUAUAUAUUUAUAUAUUUUAUUUUCGUAAUUAUAAAAUAUUUAUGUUCAAAAAUAAAAUCUAAUAUGUUGGUAAGAUGGGUUAACAUUAUCAAACUAUAUAAUACAUGUAUAAAAAUUAACAUGUAUUUCUUUAAAGUUAAUAAUAUAAAAUCUUUGUAACUAUUUUAAUCAUAAUAUAUUUUCAUUUUAAAUAUAAUAUAUAUUAAUAUAUUAUAUUUUAAAAAUUCUAAUAAACCUGUGUAAAAAUAUUUAAAGAAUAACUUAAUGUAUUUUAAGUUAUCGUUUAAAAAUGAAAAUAAAUAAAUUAUAUCAUAUUUUAUCUACUUUAUAGUCAUGAUCAUGUUAAAAUAUAAUUAUUAUACUAAAAUAAAUAUGAUAAAAUUAUAUUCAAUUGAUAAAUUUAUAAAUUUUAUUUUCAUAAAUAUAAACUAUUUAUUUAAAAUAUAAUAUGAUGAUAGAACAACUAAAAAUUAACAAACUAUAUAAUAAAUGUCUAAAAAUUAACAUAUCUUAGACUUUUAUAUAUACACUAAUAAAUUAUCUAAAAUGAAUAAGCAUAAAAAUAUUGGUAAAAAAAAUCCAGUUUUGAAAGACGGGUCAGAAAUUAGCAUAAAUUAAAUUCAAAAUAAUUUUUAAAUAUAUUUUCUUAUGAAUAUAUUACUUUACUUAAUAACUAAAUGCAAAUACAAUAAGAUAAAUAUAUAAUAAGAAGUGGUAAAUACAUACGGUUUAAACAAUUAAUUAAUUAUAACAUGUAAAUUAUAAAAUUAUUGUAUUUGAAAUAGUUAUAUAAAUAUUUAAGUAUAUGAUUAACAUUAAAAAUAUAUACCACUUAUGUUCUAAAACAAUAAUUUAUGUAUAGAAAAGUAAAAACAAACAUCCGUGCGGUUGCACGGGUCAAAAUCUAGUUAAUUUCUUAUAAUUUGUUUGAUAAUAUUUCACGUAAUAUAAGAUAAAACAAGGUUCAACGAAUAGAUAGGCGGUAAACCAGACACUUUGGCACUUUGCAUAGGACUAGCGUUGACAAUUAUAUGUUUAUUAAUUAUACAUCUUAUAUUUGUAUUACAUUUUUUUAUAUUUUAUGUGUUUAUUUAUAAAAUGACUUUGAAAAAUAUUUAUUCAAAAGGAAAUCAAACAAAUCUGUGAGCUUACACUAAAAAAAAAUUGAAGAUUAUCAUUUGUUAUAGACAAGACGAUAUAACUAAAUUAGUCAUAAUCCACUCUUAUGUUAUUUGAGUAAACCAAAACAAAUUUAGUUCCGUUUGAACUUUGAACUAAUUUCGAAUGACUUACAAACUAAACGAAAUUUGUUUAUAUGAUUUUGAAAAGGUCUUUUUGGUUAUGAUCGAUUUGUAGCUUAGAUAGACAAAAUAUGCAUCUACACCCGAAUAUCACAACAUUCAUUAAAAAAAUGUUAAGAAGUCAUAUAACUGACCAAUAAAUGUCAUAUGAUUCAAAACACACAUGUUUACCUUGAAUAAAACACAUGUAAAAGCCAAAGGUUCAUAUUGCUUUCCCACCUAACAUUUAAAUUAAAAACCAAAUAACAAAGCACACACACGUUGAAAAUUCAACAUCAUUACACGACAUUAUUUUAAUAUUCUCCUAAAAGUCAAAUCCGAUUAAGCCGCAAAAGAAGAUCAGAAAACGCUUGACCCACGCUUAAAAACGUUGACAUAUAGACGCGCAUACACACACAUAUAUAAAUACAUGUACACACACAAGCCAUCAAGAUCACAAACACUUAUCUUCAAAUCCUGAUCUAAUCUUUGUCUUGUAAACACAGAAAGUUCUUAACCAAUGGAAGCUACUUCACAGCCUUGUUUCUCUCAUAAUUACCUUAGAUCAUCUGAAAACUACAACUCAUCGCUCCAUUCGACACGAAAGCAACCUGCAAAGCCAUGGAAAAGACCCGUAACAGCUUCGCUUCAACGAAUGCAUCCCAGAGUUUACCGAGUCGAGCCUGUGAACUUCAAAGAGUUGGUUCAGAGGCUAACCGGCGCACCACAAGAUCACGAGAGAGAUGAGGUGCAUCAAGUUGAAACUAAGCCACUACUCAAGGUGCAACACGGUCUAGUUGAGGUUAGGCAGCCACUCAAGAUUUUCCGUGAAACAACAACUCAAGAGAACCCACUGGCGUUUGAUCUGUCUCCUUCAUCAUCUCGUUUUUGGGAAGCUUUCCCUCUUCUCAGUUCUGCGAAUCUAUCAAGAUGGUAGGACAAAAUAAAUCUUUCAUUGAUUGCAAUUCUUGAAAUUUAUCGCUAGAAAGAUGUAUGUAUACGAAGAGAGAACACUUGUUACUGUUACAUUACAAAACAUCUGUUUUUAUAAAUCUUUUUCGCGCUCUCUACGAAAAAGCUCGUCUCUGCCUAAACCAGAUACAGGCUGAUGAUGAUAGAGUCAUGUUCAUCGAACUCAAUGUUUUAGGAAACUAACUCCACUAAUAAUACCAGUAGACUAAAGAAAUAUUUAAGAAAAAUGGACCAAAAUUUAUUAUUGACGACUGGAAGCCCAUGCUUCUAUAGCUUCUGUCAGAGCCGGACCUGGGUAUUCGUCAAAAUCCAAAGAGGGUGUUGUCUAUAUAUAACUCUCUCUAAUGUUUUGUUUAAAAGCUUCAAUGUUCUCGUCGGGUGUUUUCCCUUUGGCCACUUUAAUUUCGUCACAUUACGCAAACACAAAAGUCUACAGUACCUGAAAAAAUCAUCACAAUAUUAGGACAAUCAAGAAAAUUCUAAGAACAAACAAAAAAGACCACAUGUAUCAUCACAUACAUUGUUGGGGCCAAACCAAUUCUCACAAUCAAGAUCAAUCUUCUAAGGAGGAGAUUCUAUGUACACUAAUCUGAAUGGAAAGUUGCAGACUAUUGAAGCUGUGAAAAAAGACAGGAAAGAAUGAUCUCUGGGUAGGCUGAAUCAAGUCAGAAACACUUUAUCAAGGUUGAAUCAAGUCAGAAACACUCUGGACUCAGAAGGUCUAUUAGUGGUGCAGAGCUUGUUGGUUUUCCCAAGCGAGUGAAAAGAGUUCAUAAGAAUGAAUCUUUUGAUGAUGCUUAUUACAUCUAUCGUUUUGGUAUGUUCUUCAGGGAUAGGUAUGUUUUUGGUAUGCUUAUUACAUGUAUCGUUUUGGUAUGUUCGUUUUUGGUAUUCUUCAGGUGAUCGCUCGAAACCAUGCUUUAAUGCUUUUGUUGAUUCAGAUUGAGCAACAUACCCAGAUAGUAGAUAUCACUGGAUACUGCAUUUAUCUCGGAAACUCUUUGAUCGCUUGGAAGUCUAAGAAACAUGAUGUGGUGAGUAGGAGUAGCACUGAGGUAGAGUUCAUGAGUAUGGCUAAUGCUAAUUUUGAGCUUGGUGUUACUACCUCAGCUAGAUUUUUUGUGAUAACAAAUCAGCUACGUACUUUGCCACGAAUCCAGUCUUUCACGAACUCACCAAACAUGUGGAGAUAGACUGCCACACGGUACAUGAUCAAGUGAAAAACGGUUCUUAUGGUUUAUGCACGUGUCUAGUGCUAAUCAGCAUGCAGAUAUCCUCACCAAAACUUUGCAUCCGGGAUCAUUCAACUCUAUACUUGCUCAGAUGUCUACUUCAAAUCUCUUUACUCCACAAGCUAGUUCCAUUUCAGAGACUUGAGGGGAGUGUAUUAGUUGAUAUAGAGCUGGUAUAAUCUGGUUUAUAUUAAUGGUUAUUAUUUGGUUUAGCUUCUUUUUACUAAACAAAUGUAUAUAUAGUGAACCAUGUAACAAACUUUACGAUCAAGAAGUUUAAUUUUUUUCAUUCAAUAAUACAUUUAGCAAUCCAAAAAGUGUGCUUCCAAGGCCAUUAGUCUCUUUUACAAAGUAUGGCCACUGAUCCACCUUUGGAACAUGAUAAAUGUCUCGUUUGGUUUAUACUCUGCUGUGUGUCCACCUCCCUAGCUCAAAACAUCAGUAAACACAUUCUUAGUGAUACAAAUUAUGCAGUGCUAGUAAAAUGUUAAGUUGAAUCAAGAAGACUUACUUUGAUGGUAGCAUAUGUCAUCUUAUUGGAAUAAGUUCUCGUGUAUCUGACAAAAAAGAAGGCAACAAUGAUUUUGAUGUGAGUUUGAUAAGCUUACAAUACAAAAAGAUAAUGAACGAACAAGAGAUAAUUAUAUAUACCCAGCGAUUUGAGCUUCUAUCAUCCAUGGCCUCCAGUCAUCAAUGAUGGAGUAAUUCAGAGAUUUGAUCCAAGCUUGAGUUCCUUGGAAUGUCAUCGUGAUGUCAUGAUCACCACUGUUUACCACAAAUCACACAAAUUUUACGAUAUUGUUUAGGUAUCUGAUCUUAGGCUUUAUAAAAAUUUAAACCAAAUAAAGUCAUUUGUAUUUUAGUUCAGAUUCAUGAAAAUUCGGAUUAGUUUCCAAUUUUGGUAUAGUUAAGAAAAUAGAGUUAAUUCAAACCUAUAAAUAAGAGAUCGAUAUCCGCUGAUGCUGUUAUUCAUAUGAUAAGGUACGCUGCUUAUAAUGUCUUGAUUGUAUGGAAUAGUCCAGUUACAUCGCUGCCAAUGUCCUUUAGUCCCCUGUAUUAACAGAUCGUCAAAAAUUUAUUCUAGAAACUUUCUUUAUAUCAUCAAUGAUCUUAAAUUAAAGUUGGCAUAUACCUUUUCAACAUGAAGAGCUUCGCGAACUCUCUCGUUGUUGGCCCAACAUUCAAUGAGAUAAUAUAGAUAAUACUGUCAAGGCAAACCAUGUCUCAAUGUUUCUAUAUCAUAAAUUUAUACACUUUCCAUAUAUCAGUUGCUUCUUUGUUCCCACUAAAAUUAUGAACUGAAUAAGAGGAAAACAGAUAAAAUUCCUAUGGGUUUCCCAACCCUUUUAAAUUGUCACUAAGAUGGCCGAAAGAGGCAUUACUUACAUAACAAUCAGGAGAUGUAUUUGAUGAAUUACUUUUGUCAUCGCAAUCUGGUAAUAAUAUAUGUUGUGUGUUUAUUUUGUCAGUGCACUGCAGAUAAAAAUAAUAAUUAAAUUUAGUUUAAUGUUGGUAUUUAGUACUAAAGAAAUAAAAAUUGAUUUAAGUUCACAGUUUGUACCACCUUAUGGUAUUCUUCAACAAGUUUCAAACAUUUUGUGUUACGUGGAUCCACAUUUCUAUAAUUUCCUUUGCAAUUUCUCUUCAAUGACUGUUAAAAAGAUUGUAUAAACUGUUGUGUCAUUUGAGGCUUCCCAAGUGAUAUAACUAUACGAAAAUAAAGAUAGCUCGGAAUUAGGCUGCAUAUAUUACAUACCUCGUAGAGUUCAUCAGAGAUUAAUGACAUUCCAUGUGAAAAUGGAAUACGAUAGUUUUCGUCAAUUUCAGGAUGUGUUACUGGGUUUCCCAGCACAUAACCCUGGUUUUUGUAAAUACAAUUAUGAAUUUUUAGUUUUAGAAAAAUGUACAAAAUAAUUUGAAGCAGUUAAAUAUUAAUGACCUGUAGAUUAAUGGGAGGUUUACAACAUAUAUAAUUUCCUGCAUGAAUCAUAGUGCCAAUAUUGUUAAAACAGAUACAAUACAGAUACAAUAUCAUAUAUAAUUGCAUACCUUUUGAGAUUUCUUGAACGAGUGCUGGAAUAGUCUUGCCAGAAUAAGAAUCUCCGGAAACGUAAAACGAGUUGGAGAGAAACUGUGGAUGCUUGCUUAGCCACUGCCAAAAAAAAUACACAUUUAAUCUAUUAAUUUAGGAUCUUAUUUUUUAUCUACCAUCCAAAAGUUUAGGUUAGACCAUUCAUGAAAAACUUAACUAAACAUCUUAAAUUUAUUCAUAUAUAUGAUAUUUGCAUAGCAAAAACAAUAUACAUAUAAGCAAUAACAUUCCUAAAAAAUGACUAAUAUAUUUUCAUUAGGCAAUUAUCAUUUGAUUAUUUAUCAUAUUUAAUCUAGACCAUAUUAUAUAUAUAUAUAUAUCAGUAAUUAAUUUUUAAAUUAAAUAGUAUAUAGCCCAUUUGUUUUUAAAAUUAUCACAUUAACUUUUUAAAUAGUUUAGUGUUUCAAAAUAAAUAAUAGUUUAUUGGUUGUAACAUUUUAUGUUUGAUUUUUGUAGUAAAAAUAAAAACACUAAACUGAAAUAUUGUAUAUUAUAUAAACAUAUUGAGAAUAAAAAUUAAUAAAAAUUGUAUUCAUUCAUAUAAAAAUAAUGUUUAAAAUUAAACUAUUAAUAUGAUGUUGCAUCUUUAAAUAAAUUAACAAAAUACUAAAUUAAUAUAUAUAUUAAUUUAGAAUUUUAUUUUUUAUCUACUAUAAAAAGUCAUUUUAGGACCAUGUUAUUAAAUAUAUAUCUUAACUAAACGAUAUUCUCAAUAUACUCAUAAAUAAGAAAUCAAACAAUUUCUUCAGCAAUCAUAUAAUAAUAAAAAUCAAACCCAGUACUUUCGAAAUCAUAAGAAUAGAAUAUUAAAUUUUUAACUAAUAAGAAUCCUAACGAAAUCCUAGCUAAACAAAUAGUAUUACUCAAUAUCCCCAUUAUUAAUCUGAAACAAAACCAUGUAUCGUCUAAACCCUAUCUAUACUACAUAGUACUAUCAAUCCCACAACUCUAACUACAUACUGCAACCGUUGCCAAAAAAAAAAAACUACACACUGCAACCACACAAACUGAACAUUCCAUUUUUACGAUGGUUCCUCCUAAAGAUAUUAUUAACAACAAAAAAUAAAUCAUAUAUAAACAUUUCAAGGACCCAAAAUUUUAAAACCAAAAUUUACAAUGAAAUUAUUAAUAAUUCAUCUAAACCAAAUGUUUAACACUAAACUUUUUAGUAUGAUGCUACAACUUUUUUUUAAAAAACAAUAUGUUAAUAAGCCCAGACAUAAAAACUGAGAACCAAACAAAAAAAAAUCAAAACCAAAACGAAUUUUAUAAAUAACUGAACGGUGACACUUUAUUUUUUGACAAAAAACUAAAAUUUAAAAUUUGAACCGAAACUAAAUCGAAUACCAAACACCCAGAUCUAUGUUAACAUAUGACUAUUAUAAUUUCAUCCAAAUAUUUUUUUCACCAAAACAAAAGUAUCAAAAUAAAAUUUUACACAAAACACUAAACUUUUAUAAAACAUAUAUUCUCAUAACUUAUUUUGUGUUCAAUAUUUUUUAAUAUAAAUAAAAAUAUACCCCGCAGGCGCGGGGUUUACCUUCGCAGGAUACCAAGAAAAUCCUAAACCAGUUCAAAUAAAAAAAAUAUAAGAAUGGGCUAGGCUUAAAUGUGAUGGACUACAUCAGCGAAGGCCGUCAACUUUACACAGUGUUAUAAAUUAUAAAAAGCUUAUCCGUAUACACAGAUGUCUAGGCAAAAGUUGGAUAAAUGUGUAUUUUACCUAUACGUAUAUAAUAUAUUCUGUAUAAUAUAUACUUUAUGCUGAUUGAGUUUAUGUAUGUGAACUUGAAAUCAAUAUAUUUUAAUUUAAGAUAACUGGAUAAAUAAUAUAUUUCAGAAAUAAAAUUAUGCAUGUAAUUUUUUUAAUAUACGUGGUUUUAAAUAUAUAAAAACAAAAACAUGCUUUUAGACAUAGAAAAGUACAACAGUUUUACAUAUACAUUUAAAUAUUUUAUAAAUAACUGAAAUUAAAAAAAAAAUCGUGAACAAAUUAGGCUUUGAUUGGCAGAGUAAAUGAUAAAGCAAUAGAAGUAUGUUAUAAAAACAUUAUGCUGCAGAAGCUAUAUGUUUUUACUAAACUAUUUAAUAGAAUGAUUCGUAAAAUAAUAUGAUUAUGCUAUUUAAAAUUAUUAUAAAAAUUAAAAUAUAAUAUAGAAUAUAAUUAUUUUUAAUAAAUAUAUCUUCUAAUAUAUAUAUAUAUAUAUUAGUAUAUGAAAUUUAUUAGAUAUAAAAUAAUUUAUUUUAUUUAAUAAUUAUGUUUAUAUCAAAAAGAUAUUAUUUUAAAAUAAUUUUUACAAUAAAAAUAAAAAUAAAUGAAUUAAUUAUAUAUUUUUAAUUUUUUUAUAAAUUAUAACUGCAAAUGCUCUUUUAAAUUAAAAGAUAGUAUUUAGAGAGCAUUAUCAUUUAGUAAAUGUUUUUUUAAUGUUUUUAUAACAAAUGUUGAUUGGAUAAUGUAAAACAUAAUGCUAAUAUUAAUGUUCUAUCAAUCAAUGCCUUAAUAGAUGUAGACAAAUAAAUUAAAUAAUAAUCAAUGUAAAUAAUAAUAUUAAAAUUUUAAUUAUAUAAUAUUCUUAAAAAAUUAUGUAACCAUGCAAAAUCCAUCCAAUCGUUCGUAUAGACUGCAUAAUUUCAACUUUAACACUAUCCAGCGUUUGAGUUGUUUUAAAAACCGCCUUAAGCAUCGCAAAGCAUAAAAUUGGGACACUGACUCUAUACACCGAGAAGUGUAACAUAUACAAGAGCUUUAAGAAGACAUUUAAAUUUGCCAUAUUACCUUUUGAAGAAACUGAUGGAUCAUCUUUGCUUCAUUUGUGUCACUAGUUUUAUCAAGUGGAGUUCUUGAGUAGGAGAAGCCAGCUCCAACAGGUUGAUCCAAGUAUAUUAUGUUCGCCACCUGAAAAUGUGAUCAAAGUUAAAAAUAGAUCAUUGGGUUUUCGAUGGACUAAUAAGCUUACUUUUGGUUACCUGUGUCCAUGAAUAUGUAGAAGAGACCAAAGAAACUAGACUUCCAUUGUAAACCUCAAACUUCAGACCCACAGGUCCUAAUUUUUUAUUUUACCACUUUAAAACAAAUUAUUGAAAAUCAUGCUUAGUGAAAAAGAUAUUUUAUAGAUUUACCAUUCUCAAAAAAAAGGCCUUCGAGAGAAGAGCAUCCAGGUCCUCCGUUUAACCAAAUAAGGAGAGGAUCUUCUUUUGGAUUCUUCUCGGAUUUGAUGAAGUAGUAGAACAAUUGCACUUCCUCUUCCUCACCAAUGCCGAUGUACCUUUCGUUCAGAAGAAUAGCAAACUACUAAUUCCAAACUCAAACACACAUUGGGUACAAAGAAAAGAAAGAUUUGACAAACCCUGUUUCAAGCUCGAACGGAAGAGGGCCUUCAAAACCGGGAAGAAACUUGACGAUGGAGGCACAAUCAACAUGAUGACUCCAGACAAGUAGGAGUAGAAGAUAAAGCUUUAGUGUCAAACUCAUUCUCUUUUAAUUUCUAAAUAUUGAGUCAUUUACGGAAUAAAAUGAAUUUAUAUACUGUAGGUAGCAUUUUGCUACUACCCUCCUCCGUCCAUUUGAGGCACGUAGUCAGUACAGCAACCAUUCAUCUUACCUAACAGUGAUAAUAUUGUACAGCUCGUAUCAUCAGCAAUCAGCACUGUAUAAUGACGAGAUAGUGACAGCUGAAGCCCGUCUCAGUAUAAUGGAUUAUAUAGAAACUUUUAGCGUUAGUAAAAAAAAAUUUUAGUGAAAAAUACGUUCAACUGCAGAUAAUGUGGGAAAAAAUAUUUUAGAAAUUUAAUACAAAACCUUUCAACUGAUAGUUCAUUUGUAUUUUAAAAAAUUCAUUAGUGUUGUUAACUAACACACUCGUCGGUCCACUGGGAAUAAUGGGCAACCAUUUUGAGAGUCACGUGGUUGGUGCAGCAACCAUCCAUAAUAUUAAGUAGUAACGGAUAAGAGUGACAACUAUUUUGGAGUAAUAAUGUGAAAAUGAUAGGGAGAAACAAAUAAAACUAAUGGCAAAUCAACCAGAAUAGAUUUAUCUUCAUAUAUCUUUGUAUUAACUUAUCAUUAGACACAAUUAUUCUUGUACUAAUUAAAACAAUUAUAAGAAAUUGUAUAUAACUCAAAAAAUAAAAAACCAAUAAUAUUCGUAUAGGAAUUUUUACAUGUUUUCCUAUAGAAAAAAAAUAAUUAGGAAACAGUUAGCAUUUGUUGAUCUAAGUUUUUAGAAUGUAUAUUAUAACCCUUUUUACAAGGAUAAAAUUAAUAUUCUAACAGUUUUACGUUUUAGAUUGGUUAUUAUACAUAUUGUAAUGUUUUCUCUAUGAUCUAUCUAAGUUUAUAAUAUGUCUGCCUCUGCCAUAAUUAUAAUUCAUGAGAAAGCUUUAAUUUUUUUUUAUUACAAAUAUAUAUCACACAAAGAUCAAAUUAAAUAUAUGUUUUAUUAAAGAGGUAAAAUAUAAUUGUAUUCCUUUGAUUAACUAAUCUAAAUUUAAGAUUUAGGAGGAUGUAUUCAAUAUAAUGUUUGAGGUGAUUUGGGUUUUAGUGAGGUUUUAAAUGAUUUCAAUGAAUUAAAAAAUUUAAGGUGAUUUUUGUUAAAUCACUCUAAAAUAUCACCUAAAACUAUGAGAUUUGAGUUUUAUUUUUAUUUUUAACUAAGAAACUCCACUCAAACAUUCUAAAAUCACUUAACUUAAAACAUUUUCAAUAACGGUAGAUUUCAUAGUACUUUAUGAAAUGUCAAGUUCAAUAACAGUGAACUUUAAAUGAAUUUUAGAAGUCAUGUUUGAAUAACAUUAAAUUUGUCAUUUUAAUACAUCACCUAAAAUUCUCAGUUAAAAUUUAAAAUGAUAAUUUUAAAAAUAUUUUUAAAAAAGAAUUUGGAUUUCAAAUAAAUUUUCAGAAAAAGAAUCGCAGACUUUUUUAAGAAAGUCAAUUUUGUUUAAUCGAGUAACUUUUUCUCAAAAAUAAAAUAUUUUUUUAUUAUUUAUUUCAAUUUAUACAUCUAUAGAGUAAAAAUAUAUUUGUCAUUUACCUAUUUAAUAAAACAUUUUUUGGUUAUUUCUUCUUUGUACUUUUAAUCAAAAAAUCUUUUUAGGUUCCGAAAGAUUUGCCCACAAUUCUUUGUUUUUUUUUAUCAUAGGUUUGCACUUUGCACUAAGUUUAAUUUUCUUUUAAACAUUAACUAGAUCUUGACCCGCACAUCCGUGAGGGUUUUUUAUUUUUAAGCUAAAAUAUUUUAAAUUUUUAUAACAAAAUUUAUCAAAAACUUAGUGUAAUUUAGUGUUAUAUUUCUACAAUACCUAUGUUUAUGUGACUUAUAUAUUAUUACUAUAAAUUUUGUAAAUUUUUUAUUUAUGUAACAAAAUUUAUUUUGAAAACAUUAUUAUGUAACAAUACUAUUUUAUAUUAUUAUGGUGCAAUACUAUUUUACAUAAUAUUUUUUUAAGACAAAUGAUUUUUUUAUGUAGAUCCAAUUUAAUUUAACUUCAAUAAAUUUUUUUUGAGAUACUGUUAAAAACAAUAAUUUUUUUAAAAAUUAGCUACAAUAUAUUGUACUUCAAAAUGAUUUUGUAGUAGUGAUCUUAUUUGAGAAAUUACUUGAAAUACACUAAUUUGGGCAAAAUAGUUUUAUUUUUCAAUUUGAAAUAGAAAUGGAUCUUUCUAAUAAAAUAAUUUUAAAAUCUUUGCAAAAUGUAUUUCAGAAAAUUAAUCAUUUAAAUUUUCAUUACCAUUAAAAUAUGGUUAAUAAUAUUUAAUCUAAUUUUAAUUUUUUGCUUAUAAAUGAAAACUAAAUUAAAUUUUAAUUUCUAAUUAAAGUUUAUUAUGUGUAAAAAUUUGAAUUAAUUACUUGUUGUAAGUAAAUUUUAAAUGGUUCUGAAUUCUUUUUAAACGUAUUUUGAUAGAAAUUUCUUAAAAAUAUUUAUUCGUAUUUCAAAUAUAAAAUGAAGAUAUUAAAAUCAUGGCUAUAUGAAUAAUGUGUAUUAUAGUUUCUUGAACUCUAGAUGAAAGGAUACGGUUUCUAAUGUUCCUUUUUAGUUAAAUAGCUGAAAUUAAAUUAGAAAAAUAUCACACGUUAUAUAAAAGAAGAAACAUAUGUUUAGGAAGGAAAUCAGGAAAAUAUCUCAUUAACCAUACAUUUACUUAGUUAUUUACGAAAAGAAAAGACUAAAAUGUAACCACAAUUAUUGUUAUGAUAUUAUUAUGCAAAUAGAAAAUUUCAUUAAAGUAAUUAUAUAGAAGAAGGUCCAACUUAAAAAAUCACACAUGAAAAAAUUGUGAAUUCUGUUUUAAUAUAUAAGAACUUUAUUAUAUAUUUUAUUCCAUCAUCUAUUCUAGAUAAACAACUUAUUUUUGCGUUUAUGCUAUGCUUUAAACCGGCUAUAAUGUAUAGUAAACCAUACAUCAUUGUUCUACCUAAUUUUCUUUUGUCAACUAUUCUACCUAAUUUAAAACGUGUAUUCUAAUAAAUUUCACUAUUAUUAAAUGAAAAGUGGAUCUUUUCCAAAUUUUGCUACACCUAUAUGCAGAGAGAUUACGAAUCUUAAAGAAAGCUUCUAGAAUGUUUACCCUACAAAGGUUUGGCACUUGCAAAUUAAUAUCACAUGCCUAACAAUCAUGAGAGAUGUAACAACGUAUGGUUGCUGAGCAUCGUCAUAACCUUACAAAAUAAUAUAUACAGACAAGAUAAUUCAAAAGGCUAAUAUCCUCGCAAAAACUUGUAUCUGCUGUUUGAACAAAAAAAGAAAAAAAAAUUGUGUCUGCUGAUGCUACAACUAUAGAACUAAAGACAGUAUCCUAUUGUCUCCUUCCUGGUGUGAUCAUAACGAGUCAAAUUUUGAUUAGACAUGAGCAAAAAAAAGUGUUAAACUGUUCUGUUUCUUGUGUUUGAUCGAUCCCUCAUUAGAUCAUUUGAUCGAUCCCUCAUCGGCUUCUUGUCAACGCCGCCACCGAGUCCUCUCUUAGAUCCCUGGUUCAUUGAAGAAAGCAAACAACAGUGAAAAAAAAAUUAGCAUAAGUAAGCAUAAAAAAGAUAUAGAGAGAUCUAUGUGUAAAAGCUAGAACACAGAAGUACUAUAUCAAAGAAUAAGAUAAUUUUCUCAAAUUGUUGUCUUUUAUUAGAUAUUUCUUAAACAAAUUACAUUUUUUGUUUAAUUAUAUUCGAUUUCACACAUGUGAGUUGACAUUGAAAUUCCUAAUCUACCCAACCUUACAAACACAACAACCGUUGCAACUUUCGUUUAUUCACUCACACAAGAAAUCUUACACGAUCUCACAAAAUAUAACAUAAUGCUUGACGUACUCGUCUCGUCCUCCUGCCUUUUAGAACACACGAUGACACGAUCUCUUCCUUUUUUAAGAUCUUCUUUCCAGUAUCCUGAUAAGUCUAAAUCUCCAAUAUCUCUAGAUAUCUUCUUAUCUUUAUACAUUGUACAAGAAAACCUUUUCUUUAUUUUCUUGUUUAAUAACUUCAUCCAAUGAAGCAGUGGCCGUCACAAAUCAUUGUAUUCAGAUAUUCACGCCAUAAAAUCUUGUAGGUAAAUAUUUUCACGUCACCUUUUGACUUGCGCAUGUGAAAACUUCGUUGAACACUUUGUUCUUGUGCUACAGAUUCCAUGUCUUAACAAUCUCCUAUUUUUAUGUAUGACAAUCAAGAAAUAUGCCCAUAAAACAAGAACACAAACCACUAUGCAAGCACUAACAUGUAACUCAAGACAUGAUUCAAAACUACAAAACUUAAAACCAUCGUAUCUGAGACUUGAGACAUAGCAAGGACAUAACUAAACUGUUCAAGAAUCGUAUUAGUAGUUGCACACAUAUGCUCAGUCCCAAUCACAUGAUAACAUACUUUCCAUGUCUAACUAACCCUUCAAAACUCAUGAUUUUUCUUCCCAUGCUUGAGUGCAUAAAUACAUAAAAACCAUUCAUAAACACUUACAUGCAGGAUAAAAAAUCCCCCAUGAGAAAUCAGUACUCGCUUGACAUGUUCCAUAUGCACACCUGUUUCUUAAUUCACACACUUAAACCAAACAAUUAAACCAUGCCGAUCAAAUCAAAGGAAAUGGGUACAUGCCAAGAUCUGUGCAACAUGAUGAACUAUUUCCAGCGAUCGUAACACAUGCAGUUUGUACAAAUGAAAUUUUGAAGGAAUUUGAGUAUGAGAUGAACAUGUUUCUUUGAGACUAAAAAAACUGAUGCUAGUCAGAUAUUAAUAUGAGUUUUUAAGCACACUGGCCUGAGCUGAGAUGUCAUGAAGAGAGAAUGACUUUCAUGAUUUUGAUAGAUAGUGUUAUUCUUGGAGUUUUAUUACAGAUGAAAUUACUUUAAAUAUGAAUACCCUUAGAAUUGGUCUAACGUAAGUACCGUUGGCGAAAUGAGAAAGCAAAGCUCAGUUUUGUAGAGGCUUCGAGCUAAUGUAUAUACAAAAUUAAAUAACUAAUAAGCUUAGCUUAGAAGAUAAGUAGUAAAACACUUAAAUCUUAGAAUAAUCAAUAAACUGAGUUGAGGUUAAAAUUAGAGGAGAAGAAACAAAAAAAAAGAAAAAGAAAACAAGAAAAGCGUUGACAAGCUCAUAGUUCAGCCGAAACCAUUAUCGUAUAUAUAAACCCAAUGGGCUAAAAGACUGAAACAGAUUAAUCAGCCCAUACCUAACUAAAUUCUUUAGGCCCAUAAGACAAGAUACGACGUCGUUGGAUACCGUCGGUGUCGGAGUGGAGAAGCAAAAACAAGGAGGACGUUGAAACCAGAUUCACAUGGCCCCCUCUCCUUCCUCCCUACUUUCAAGUCCCAAGUGUGAAGCUGCCAUAAUUUUCGCUCUAAUUAAAAAAAAAGUAAAAUAAUAAUUAUAAUAUUUAGUUUACUUUUCUGCAAAUUGAAGGGACGCACGAUUUUUAGUGGCAAUCUCACAGCUCUCUCUUCUUCCUUUCCCUCCAGAUCUAAAUCUAAAAAUAUAAAAAAUCUCUACUUUUUCGGAAAAAUUGUUCAUCAUUCUUCAUUGUUCCCAGAAGAAGCAAAAAAAAAAAAACGAAAGUUCACAUUGUUGAGGUAAAGUUUCCAUUUUUAUAAAGAUUCCUUCUUAUUUAGUAUAACGGUUUGGUUAAGAUUUGUUAUACGUUCACUUAGAUCCGAUCAAGAUCGUGCCUUUAGUUGCAAGUAUUAGUAAUUUAAUUAAUGUAUCAUAUGAUUUGGUUAAAGAUCUGAGAUUUGGGUUUGGUUUUGAUUUUAGGAGGAAGAAGAGAUGUUUAGAUCAUCGCCAAGAAGAGGACAGAGAUCAAAGGGGUUCAAGGUGAAGCACUGUGUGCAGCUGACUCUGUUGAUUGGUGUUGGGAUAUGGUUGCUUUAUCAAGUGAAGCAUUCUCAUGAGAAGAAAGCUUUGUUUGAGACGAGCGCAAAGGCUGUUGUUGGUGGUGAGAAAGCUGUGAAGCUUGGGAGGAAAGAUCUUAACCCGGGCGUUGUCGUUGAGGAUGAAGCUGUGAAUGUUGAUAGGGGUUUUAAUGAUAGAGAGAUUGAGACAAGAGAUGAUAAGAACGAUGAGGUUGUGGAGGGAGGAGGUGAUGAGAAUAAUGAGAAGGAGAGUGCAGAAAGCAGCGAGGUUGAGGCUAAGAAUGACAAUGGUACCGGUACAGAAGAGACUGAGAUUGAGGAGAAGAAAGACAAUGGUACCGGUACAGAAGAAAGUGAAACUGAGGAGAAUAAAGACAAUGCCAAUACAGAAGAGAAUGAGGAGAGUAAAGAGAAGAGUGGUACGGAGGAGAGUGAGAUUGAGGAGAAGGACAAUGGUGGUGGUACAGAAGAAAAUGAAGAGAAGAGUGGAACUGAAGAAAGUGAAACUGAGGAGAAGAAAGACAAUGGUGGUACAGAAGAGAGGGAGAUUGAGGAGAAGAAAGACAAUGGGGGUAGUGAAGAGAUUGAGGAGAGCAAAGAGAAGGGUGGUGGAGAAGAGAAAAUAGAGGAAGUGAGUGAUGAGAAUGAAGGGAAGGAGAAGAAGGAUAGUGAAGAAGCAAGAGAGAAUAAUUACAAAGGAGAUGAUGCUUCUAGUGAGGUGGUUCAUGAGAAGGCAGAUGAGAAGGUGCAAGUGGAGGAAGACAAGACCGGAGAACCGGAAGACACUGUUAUCAAGAGUGUUUUGCCGACUGAUAAUGAGGGAAGCAGCAGUGAUGAGAAGAACACUGGUAAUGAUUCGGAUUCCUCUAGUGAGAUUAAAUCUGAGGGUGAAUCCAUGGAGAAGAAUGAGAAGGUGGAGAAGGAAGGGUUUAAUGAUUCUAAUGGCGACCUGACUGAGUCCAAAGAAUCUUCUGGGAAGGAGGAUGGGUCAGGGUCUAGUGUGAAGACAGAUGAGGAAGUAGAAUCUUCUGAAGUCUCAUCUCAAGACAAGGAAACGGAGACAAAGGAGAAAGAUGAGUCUUUGUCCCAAGAGGAACUUAAAGAUAGAGUAGCUGAAACUAAGGAGAAAGAAGAAUCUUUGUCCCAAGAGGAAAUUAAAAAUAGAUUAGCUGAGACUAAGGAGAAAGAUGAAUCUUUGCCUCAAGAGGAAACUAAAGACACAAAGGAGAAAGAAGAGUCUUCUUCUCAAGAGGAAACUAAAGAUGGAGAAACCGAGACCAAAGCUAAGGAAGAGUCUUCGUCUCAAGAGGAAACUAAAGAUGGAGAAACUGAGACAAAAGAGAAAGUAGAAGAGUCUUUGUCUCAACAGGAACCUAAAGACAAGGAAAUUGAGACAAAGGAGAAAGUAGAAGAGUCUAAAGAUGGAGAAACUGAGACAAAGGAGAAGGAAGAUUCUUCGUCUCAAGGUGAAUCUAAAGAUGGAGAAACUGAGACAAAGGAGAAGGAAAAGUCUUCUUCUCAAGAGGAAUCUAAAGACAAGGAAGCUGAGACAAAGGAGAAAGUAGAAGAGUCUUCGUCCCAAGAGAAAAGUGAUGAAGACAAGGAAAGUGAAAAAGUUGAGAAAGAAGAAGAGUCUUCGUCCCAAGAAGAAACUAAAGACAAAGAAACUGAGACAAAAGCAAAAGAAGAAGAGUCUUUGUCCCAAGAGAAGAAGGAAGACAAUGAAACCGAGAAAACUGUGAAGGAGGAUGAAUCUUCUUCUCAAGAGGAAACCAAAGACAAGGAUUCUGAAACAAAGUUGAAAGAAGAGUCUUCUUCCCAAGAGGAAACUGAGACAAAGGAG